Molecule: long non-coding RNA, 260 nt
Filed under: Salmo salar (Atlantic salmon)
Lineage: Eukaryota; Metazoa; Chordata; Actinopteri; Salmoniformes; Salmonidae
Description: lncRNA (ENSSSAG00000088757.1)
Source: RNAcentral
CUUUGGGGCAUAGACUAUACAAGGUGUCGAAGGCAUCCCACAGGGAUGCUCGCACAUGUUGACUCAAAUGCUUCCAACAGUUGUGUCAAGUUGGCUGGAUGCCAUUUGGGUGGUGGACCUUUCUUGAUACACACGGGAAACUGUUGAGCGUGAAAAACCAAGCAGCGCUGAAGUUCUUGACACAAACCGGAGCGCCUGGCACCUACUACCAUACCCCAUGCAAAGAGAGUCCUUGAGCUAGAGGUGGCUGCAGUGGAGCA